This 74-nucleotide microRNA precursor is filed under the name Cavia porcellus (domestic guinea pig). RNAcentral describes it as "microRNA cpo-mir-12073 precursor". Lineage: Eukaryota; Metazoa; Chordata; Mammalia; Rodentia; Caviidae. The record is from miRBase by way of RNAcentral.
UUCAGAGUCGCUUGUCUCAUCCCGGGGGCAACCCCUUGUGGCUAAGAACAGGAUGGGACGCGCAACUCUGUUUC